This 354-nucleotide long non-coding RNA is filed under the name Citrus maxima (pomelo). RNAcentral describes it as "long non-coding RNA (CMAX_LNC001036)". The record is from RNAcentral. Lineage: Eukaryota; Viridiplantae; Streptophyta; Magnoliopsida; Sapindales; Rutaceae.
GUUACCAUGUUAAGUCCUUUCUGUGGGGCAUCAGCUUUCACACUGGCUUCUUUCUGAUGAUCUGAGGUAGUGUCCAUGUUAAGUCCUUUCUGUGUGACAUCAGUUUUUGGAGUGGCUUCUUUCAGAUGAUCAGAGGUAGUGUGCAUCUUAGUUCCUUUCUGUGUGGCAUCAGUUUUUGAUUUGGCUUCUUUCUGAUGUUCUUCACUUUUUUGUGACACAGAGUUAUCUUCUGAAGCUGCACUCAUUCUCUCAGCAGUAGUAGCUUCCUGAAGUUGACCGACUUCUCUUAGCCCGCUGGCAUUGGAAGAAUGCUUCAAAUGUACAGUGUUAUUUUCCAUCUCCACAUGGGGGUUU